GCCUCGGUGGUGGAAUUGGUAGACGCAGCGGACUCAAAAUCCGCCGCCGCAAGGCGUGCCGGUUCGAUUCCGGCCCGAGGCACCA
This 85-nucleotide transfer RNA is filed under the name Duganella sp. 1224. Its description in RNAcentral is "tRNA-Leu". It matches the Rfam family "tRNA". Rfam says of the family: Transfer RNA (tRNA) molecules are approximately 80 nucleotides in length. Their secondary structure includes four short double-helical elements and three loops (D, anti-codon, and T loops). Further hydrogen bonds mediate the characteristic L-shaped molecular structure. tRNAs have two regions of fundamental functional importance: the anti-codon, which is responsible for specific mRNA codon recognition, and the 3' end, to which the tRNAs corresponding amino acid is attached (by aminoacyl-tRNA synthetases). tRNAs cope with the degeneracy of the genetic code in two manners: having more than one tRNA (with a specific anti-codon) for a particular amino acid; and 'wobble' base-pairing, i.e. permitting non-standard base-pairing at the 3rd anti-codon position. Lineage: Bacteria; Pseudomonadati; Pseudomonadota; Betaproteobacteria; Burkholderiales; Oxalobacteraceae. RNAcentral also lists the same sequence under 4 other names. The record is from RNAcentral.